UGGGGAAUAUUGGGCAAUGGGGGAAACCCUGACCCAGCAACGCCGCGUGAGGGAAGAAGGUUUUCGGAUUGUAAACCUCUGUCCUUGGUGAAGAAAGAGAUGACGGUAGCCAAGGAGGAAGCCCCGGCUAACUACGUGCCAGCAGCCGCGGUAAUACGUAGGGGGCGAGCGUUGUCCGGAAUUACUGGGCGGAAAGGGUGCGUAGGCGGCGAUGCAAGUCCAUUGUGAAAAGCCCGGGCUUAACCUGGGAGGUGCAGUGGAAACUGCAUGGCUUGAGUGCAGGAGAGGAAAGUGGAAUUCCUAGUGUAGCGGUGAAAUGCGUAGAUAUUAGGAGGAACACCAGUGGCGAAGGCGGCUUUCUGGACUGUAACUGACGCUGAGGCACGAAAGCGUGGGGAGCAAACAGG
This 407-nucleotide ribosomal RNA is filed under the name uncultured prokaryote. Its description in RNAcentral is "bacterial SSU rRNA". It matches the Rfam family "Bacterial small subunit ribosomal RNA", at positions 355 to 776 of the family's 1533-position model. The record is from RNAcentral. RNAcentral also lists the same sequence under 1 other name.